Brassica rapa (field mustard) is the source of this 5509-nucleotide long non-coding RNA. RefSeq lists it as uncharacterized. Lineage: Eukaryota; Viridiplantae; Streptophyta; Magnoliopsida; Brassicales; Brassicaceae. The record is from RefSeq and is a predicted model, not a curated record.
AUACCACCGCAUACUAAUAAAUAAGACAUAACAGAUAACCAAAUUCUUGAAUCUUAAAACAAAUUUCAACUCGAGCAUUUAGUGAAUAUCAAAUUAACUAAUAUCCCGCCCGUAGGGCGGGCCUACCCUAGUAGUUAAAUAUAUUUAAGUUAAGUUAUUAUAUUUAAUUAAUGUAUUCCUUUUGUUCUGUAAAGAUGGCCUAAUAAACAAAAGCAAUAUGUAAAGUAUAUUUUUUUAUAACUGCUGUAUAUAUAUCUUAAUUAACUUUGAGAGUACACAUAGUUUUUUUUAUAACUGCUGUAUAUAUUUUGAUUGAAAUCGGAACAAACAAAAGAAGAAGAAAAUGAUAAACAAAAACGGUGAUUAAAUGUAUCGAUCUCAAAAUAUAAAAUACGAAAAUUAAAUUAUGGAAAUCAAAAAAGGCCUAGAUGUUAAAGAGAGCAAGAAGUAAAACAAAGUUUUAAAUGAUGAAAUAAAAUAGAAACAGUUAAAUACAAUUAAAUGAUGAUAGUUUUAACCAAUACGAAUAUAUAGUUAUGGAUCAAAAUAAUUAAUAUUGUUAGACAUAAAUAUAGGAGUGGCGUACCAUUGUAAAUAAAUUAUAAAACUAAAGAUAAUAUCUUAUUAGGGAUUAUCGUUUAAUAGUAUAGAUUAAAGUAAAACUUAAAAGUUUGACUUUGACCUUUCGUAGAUAUAUUUGAUUGAUUUGGCUUGUUUAAGAUAAAAACUAAAGUGAGGUUAUUGUUGCUUACGGGGCUGGUUUACAUUUGCCCAGUGUUUUUAAACCUGGAUCAAACCGGCGGUCGAGCCUGGUUGAACCAUGAACCGAAAAUAAUCCGGGUUGGGUUAAUGCUAAAACCCAACUAAAAUCAAACCAGUUAAAAACCCCAAUCGAACCGUAAAAAAUCUAGAAAAUGGUGACUCAAUGAGCAGUCAAACCCCGGUUCGUAUGUAAGCUAAAUUUGUGUUAACGAAAAAAUUAAUUUUUCUACUUUUUUAAGUAAAAAUAAAAUUUAUCAAAAAUUAAUAAAGUAUCGUUUCUCGUCUUUUUUUUUUGUCGUCUCUACAAUUCAUAAAUUACAAGAUUCACAAAGUUUAAUAUUCACGUCAAGAUAUUGUUUUUGUCUACUUCUCACUUUGUUUAAAUUUUUAUUUCACGAUCACUUGUUUUGAAGACUUUAAAUAAUUGAGAUAUUUACGUUUUUGAAAUUUGUAUUUCAAAAUAUAACUCUUACCUAUUGUGUAUAUAAUUUUUUUAUAGGUGAUGAAGAUUUAGAGUGAUAAGAUUUUGCAAAUAAAAUUUAAAUGUGCUUUUCAUAUUGAUUUUAGAUUUUCAUUGUUUUUUUUUAAGUUUUCUAUACAUUAUGGCUAUUUAAACAUUUUAUUUGAUAUGAUCUAUUUUUAAAAAACUAUACAUAUUAUUUAUAAAAUGUCAUUAAAUUUAGUUUAAUCAACUAAAAUUUAAAAUUGUUUAAAUUUAUUUAUAAAAUGUCAUUAAAUUUAGUUUAAAAAACUAUGCAUAUUAUUUUAAAAAACUAUGCAUAUUAGUAAACUCGGUUCAGAUCCGGUCGAACCACAAUGAUCCAUGACCCAAAUAAAUUCUGGUUUGCUAGCCGGUCUUGUUUUAAAAACACUGCAUUUGCCUUGAACAUUUAACUUUUUCUUAUGAAAAAGAUUUUUUUUUAUAGUUUAAACGAAUUUCUAUAUUUUUAUUAUUUAAAUCAACAACAGAAGAAAAUGCUAAAACAAAUGAGGUAAUCAUUAAAUAUUUUUAUAGAUACAAAAUAAUUGGUCUUGUCAGAUAUGACAUUCUUUUUAGCAAAACCACGAAUCUUAUUGUAGAUAAUGCUUAGAUCAUCUCCACCAUGAUUCAUAACAAUUCUAUUUUCUAAUUAUAUAACCAUUUAUUCUGUUUGGCCAUCAGCUUAGAUCAUCUUCCAUGCCGAUAUACUUUUCAUAAGAAGUUUUUCCAUCAGCUCAGCUCAUCGCCGUAAAAUAUUCUGCUGGAGCUACACUAAGAAUGGCUUAUACACGGUUAAGUUUGGAUAUUGGAUAGCUCAGAACAUAUUGAAAGCUGAGAAGGAGAAAAAAGUACUAGAGCCAAGUAUUACUAAGUUUCAAACAUUUGCUUGGACGAUAAAGACACCGCACAAGAUAUGCCAUCUUAUAUGGCACCUGAUAACAGAUCAUGUGGCAGUAACGAGAAAUUUGGUGCGGCGUAACAUAAGAUGCGAUAACUAUGGCCCACGAUGUGGUGAACCUGAAGAAUAUGUUAUCCAUGCCAUUUUUGAGUGUCCGCCAGCUCUACAAGCUUGGUCCAUAUCAUCGACAUCAACAAGUUUAGAUAUCUUUCCAUGCUCGAGUAUCUAUGUUAAUAUGGAUUAUCUUUUCUGGAGAAAGAACAACAUUGUCGAGCUAUAACUAGACAGAGAUCAUUAUCCCUGGAUAAUUUGGUACAUUUGGAAGGUCCGAAAUGACAAACUUUUUAGAGGAAUUGAUAGAGAUCCUUUGGAGUUAGUGCGCUAUGCAGAGAUUGAGUAUCAGGCCUGAUUCGAUGCAAACGAGAUGGUGACUCCAACUCCACAAGGCCAUAGUAUUGAGGAACCUCAAGUCUUAAGCUUUGGUAAUAUAUGCAUGAUAGAUGGGUCAUGGACAUCCACAUCAUAGUUCAGCGGGUGUGGAUGGGUUUGAAUAGAUAGCUUGGGGAAAGUUUAACUUAUGGGGACACGAAAUUAUAUACAACGAAAGUCUGCCCUGCAUUCCGAGGUAGAAGCAUUGCGAUGGGCGAUGGAGAGUAUGCUUCAGUAUUCGACAAGUCAGAGCUUUGGAACGGAUUGCAAGGAUUUGAUCGCCAUGAUAAAGGAGCCUCAUGCUUGGCCAAGCUUUGCAACAUAACUGGAGAGGAUAGCGACUCUGAAGAUAUGCUCCCCGGAUUUCAAAAUCACUCAUAUUCCACGAGCGCAAAAUCAGAUUUCAAAUUCUUUAGCUAGGACUGCGAGGUCUUUUCAUAGAAAAUUUUGUUGUGUUGGUUGUUUUAUUCCGGUCGGUUAUUCAGACUACUUUAAAUUUGACUAAUAGACUAACCAUUCGUUGCCAGAAAAAAACCAUUAAUCCUGUUGAAAUUUGGCUUCGAAUGUUUACAACCGUCCCGCCCCGCACCAUAGUUAACAGUAACAAAAAUCUCUACAUAUAUUAUAUAUCUAUACGUUUUUAUAACUGUUAAAACCGCACCGCAGUUGAACCACUUGUGCCGCACCGCUCAAACCGCAGUUACCGAGUUGAAGGUUUGACCGUAACAACAUGAUCUUCUUCUUCCAACGACUUGUUUCUUCUCUGUAACGGAAUCAAAUCCACCAUUGUUACAAGAGAAAAAGCUUAUGUGCAAAACAAUAAAGAGAGAUAGUGAAUUAAUAAUUUACCAUUCUGAAAGAGAUAUACCCAACGUCAUAGGAGACCUCUAAAACUUGGUUGUCUUGCGUUCUUCUUUUAGCUUUCUCUGUUCUUAGCAAUCACACUAGUGACUGGAGUCGCGAACUGACCAUACGUGAGAGUACCUGGGAGAGAGAACAAAGAGAGAAUUAUAGAUUGGGUUAGAUCAAUCGAAGAGCAAAUCAAUCAAGACGGAUACUUCGACACUAAUUAUUUUUAUUCUUAUUAGAUUUAUACCUUACCCAAUCCAAAGCAAAUUGCCAGUGUGAAAUUGAUCAUCGACGUCACACAGUUCUUGUCCUCCACCUUUCAAAUUCAAACACGGUGAUGGCCCGUCCAUCCCAAUUUCAAAUCUACAAACCUUAAUUCCAAAAUCCAUUUCAAAUUUGUUUUCCUUUCACCCUAUUUUACAACCAUUACUGUUACAGACUUCUAUUUAAUUCAUAAGACGAAUGAUUCAUUUUGUAGAGUUUCAUUUUUUAUAGCUCUCUCAUCUAUGAACAAUGUGUUAUAUCAGUAAGGUUCUUAUAUCAUAAGAUGAGUUUUUCUUUCUUUUUUUGCUAAAUUAUAUUCUACUAACUUGCAUGAGAAUAAAAAAGUUUACAAAGCCUGGUUUAGUGGCAAAUGCCUUACAAAUAAUCAAACUUGAAGCUAUUAGCAGCCCAACUAAAAGUUUACUUGCCCAAGCAAAUUAGUUAGCUAGCAGAAACAAGACGGAGGAUUGAGAGAGGAUGGGUGAUAUAGAGUUGCAGAUCGCCCUAGGAGGCAGUGAAGAAGAAAUCAGUGGCGCCAUGCUUGGAACAAAGAUGAAGAGAAUUGUGGAUCAUUCAAUUCGAAUUGCCGCAAUCCUUAACUUGAUGGUUUUAUCAAUUUCCUUGAUGAUAGCGGAUGGGUGUCUGAAUCUGUUUAUGUGGAGUCGACCGUUCCGUUCUGCCCAAAUGCAGUAGAUAGUAAGUAGCCUGCCAAGCCAAAAGCGUUAGUAGUCUGAUGUGUUGCGGUGAUUUCAGCCUUUCCAGAUUACCGAGUAAUACAUUCCAAUCUCUUGGUGUAGAGAAACCCGCUCUUCCUGCGAUCGAGUGCCAAACCUCCCAAGAGUAAGAGCAAGCGGAGAACAAAUGGUCCCUUGAUUCAAGUUCCGAAUUACAGAGGAUGAAAGUUGGAUCAGUGUCAAUUCCCGAGUCCACCAUUCUGUUUUUGGUAGGGCAUCUGUCAAGGACGAACAACCAAGAUAAGAAUUUGUGACGUGGAAUUCCCUGCGAGAACCAGAUCUCCUUACACCAAGGGACUCGUUGUUGCCUCACACACAGCAGGUGGUAGUCUCUAAUUGCCUAACUCCCAUAGUUCCGCCAAGGUCGCCGUCGCCGGAACUCCAGUGGUGCGAGAGCUUUCUCCUCGAAGGUAUUUUGAGAUGUUUCCAAAAGGUGACUAGUUACUCGACUAGAAAUAGCAAGUUUCGCCGUUUCCUACAACUUGUUUGAUCCAAUCAAAGACGGUGCAACAGUAAAUAGUUAGCAAGCCAAGAGUUCUUCUGUUUGGUGUUUUUUUUUAAAAUAUGAUAUAUUAAUUUAAUCAGCACCAAAAUGGGAGAUCAGAACAGUACACUUUGCCGGCGAACUGGGAAACGUCACGGCUAGGUUACAUACAAGAAGAGUGUAGAUAAACACUCUAGGACUUCUGUGAGAUACCAAGUAGCCCAAAUAGAGUCUUGCUUGAAGAAGAGUAGCCAGAUCAGCUUUAUGGCAGAUACGGUGUUCCAAGAGACCCAGUUCUUCAAACCCCAAACCUCCUUCCUGUUUUGGAGCACAGACCUUGUCCCAAGCAACUUUGGAGGCCCCACUGCCAUCCAGUUUUCCUUUCCAUAGGAACUUAGAACAAAGGGAGUCAAUUUCCGAUAAGAGGAGUUUUCUUUUCGUAAAGUUAUAUCAGUAAGGUUCUUGCUUUGUUUCUUUGUAUCAUGACAGCUUGAGAACUCAUCUUUAAAACGAAAUCACAAACCUAAUUCAGGAUUUAGAUUUCCAAAAGCUUUAAGCGUUGCCGUAUUAAAAACUGUACAAGUUUUGGCAAAAAAAAAAAAAAAAAA